AUUGAACGCUGGCGGCAGGCCUAACACAUGCAAGUCGAGCGGUAACAGGGGUAGCUUGCUACCCGCUGACGAGCGGCGGACGGGUGAGUAAUGCAUAGGAAUCUGCCCGGUAGUGGGGGAUAACCUGGGGAAACCCAGGCUAAUACCGCAUACGUCCUACGGGAGAAAGGGGGCUUUGGCUCCCGCUAUUGGAUGAGCCUAUGUCGGAUUAGCUAGUUGGUGAGGUAAAGGCUCACCAAGGCGACGAUCCGUAGCUGGUCUGAGAGGAUGAUCAGCCACAUCGGGACUGAGACACGGCCCGAACUCCUACGGGAGGCUG
RNAcentral lists this ribosomal RNA (319 nucleotides) under uncultured Pseudomonadota bacterium. Its description in RNAcentral is "bacterial SSU rRNA". It matches the Rfam family "Bacterial small subunit ribosomal RNA", at positions 30 to 351 of the family's 1533-position model. The record is from RNAcentral. Lineage: Bacteria; Pseudomonadati; Pseudomonadota.